This 676-nucleotide ribosomal RNA is filed under the name uncultured bacterium. RNAcentral's name for it is "bacterial SSU rRNA". It matches the Rfam family "Bacterial small subunit ribosomal RNA", at positions 1 to 644 of the family's 1533-position model. The record is from RNAcentral.
CUCANCGAUGCACCAAGGAUUAUGAUCAUGGCUCAGAUUAGCCCGCGGGGUAACGGCCUAACACAUGCAAGUCGAGCGGAUGACGGGAGCUUGCUCCUAUGAUUCAGCGGCGGACGGGUGAGUAAUGCCUAGGAAUCUGCCUGGUAGUGGGGGACAACGUUCGAAAGGAACGCUAAUACCGCAUACGUCCUAAGGGAGAAAGCAGGGUGACCUUCGGGCCUUGCGCUAUCAGAUGAGCCUAGGUCGGAUUAGCUUGUUGGUGAGGUAAUGGCUCACCAAGGCGACGAUACCGUAACUGGUCUGAGAGGAUGAUCAGUACACACUGGAACUGAGACACGGUCCAGACUACCUACGGGAGGCAGCAGUGGGGAAUAUUGCACAAUGGGCGCAAGCCUGAUGCAGCCAUGCCGCGUGUAUGAAGAAGGCCUUACGGGUUGUAAAGUACUUUCAGCGAGGAGGAAGGCAUUANAUGGUUAAUAACCUUAGUGAUUGACGUUACUCGCAGAAGAAGCACCGGCUAACUCCGUGCCAGCAGCCGCGGUAAUACGGAGGGUGCAAGCGUUAAUCGGAAUUACUGGGCGUAAAAGCGCACGCAGGCGGUACUGUCACAGUCGGGAUAGUGAAAAUCCCCGGGGCUCAACCUNGGGAAACUGCAUUCCGAACCUGGCAGGGCUAA